RNA transcript from Dreissena polymorpha, 2159 nucleotides. RefSeq lists it as uncharacterized. The transcript is spliced from 4 exons. NCBI's taxonomy places the organism in Eukaryota, Metazoa, Mollusca, Bivalvia, Myida, Dreissenidae. The record is from RefSeq and is a predicted model, not a curated record.
AUCCGACAAUAAACCUUGUAACAUGAACAACUUUCGAAUUCAAGGUGAGUGCAAUAUACUGCUUAUUUAAAUAUAGUCUGUGGAUUUUCAUGUUUAGUGUUUAUGUGUUUUUCAAAACAAGAAGAUAAAUAUAGAAAUAUGUUCAGCCCAUAUGGUUUAUUUGCACUUACUUCAGAAAAGGCACUCCCAUUAGUUAUGUAAGCAUCAACAAAUGUGAGUUAAGCGCAUUUACAAUGAGCAGUUCGUUCGUUGCAAAUCAGAUUUAUUUCACAUGCAAACUUAUUUUUCUUAUAAAUCUCAAUGAAAUUACGUCUGAUAAUGAUGACGUUAUUCAUGUAGACUAAGUAAGUUCUUAUUUAUGAAAAACAAUAGCACAAAUCAUUCGAGCUUUGAACAGGAGUGGCCUAAAUCGCCUAAUUGACAUACUAGACGGGAUUAUCGAUUUAACACGAUCUGUUAAACCUUCGUAUUGUUUAAUCUGCCAAAAAAGAUGAAUCAUUCAAUGAGCAUACACUCGGUUAUGGAAAACAUACUCAUGUCGUAUUUGUUAAUUUAAAUGUUAUAGAUUAAUAUUUACUUCUUAUCUUCGUAACAUUAUCAUAUUGCCUAUUGCAACUGUUCUUCACGUGUAUUCUGUCGAUUGUGUUUUUCUGCAGAUAAAAAUUGCGGCAGUGAUGGGCUAGAAAACGGAAAUAUACAGGAUGUCAUGUCUUCCGGACAUGGUUUAACACGUGCUAUAUUCUUUUUGGCUUAUAGCCUUUUUAACUGUCAACACAAGCAUAGCUUAUCAAUAUUAACUGGUCAAAAAUGUGUUCAGUUUUUUUUACGGCGUAGCUACCUCACCCAGAUUUUCUUUUUUAUUGACCUUUAUUAACAGCCGAUACAAUUUUAUAGAAUUUUCACGCCAGUAGACCCGACUGAAUAGCUGGAUACAUUAAGUGCAAAUUUUUGUAAAGGGAACAUUUCGAAUAUGAAUUUUUUCAAUAAUACACGCAUGUUUUGUAUUGUAUUGUCGAUAAUUUAUAAUUAUAUACUUCAAAUCCUCAAUACGUUUUAUUAGACACAACACAAAAGGACUUGGAAGAAGAUCAGUUAAACAAACGGGAAGAAAACGUUGAACUGAUAUGUGAAAUUGCAGAGCUGUGUAAUAGACCGGACAGAAAAGAUCCAGAGGUUCUUCUUCUGCUGAGCAGCAUCGGUGCAGGAAAAGGUGCAAUGGUGACCACCAUCAUCAAAGCCAUGACGGGAAAAUAUUUCCACAAAGCAAAAGCUGGUCACGGGAACGUGGCAUCAAAAACACUGGCAUUUGAAUGGUUUCAUUCCUCCCGGAACAUCGGUUAAGUACUUACAAAAGUUGCAGAAAGAUUAUGGUGUAGGUUGCUUACAGAAAAUGUACCCGAGCAAUAGCAAGGAAUGGGAGGUAACAAGAGUUGUGUUUGUUGCAAGUGCCUCUCAAUCACUGCCGACUGCAUUAGUCGAAAUCGUCCGAUGUUUAUUAGAAUCUCACGACCAGGCAACAGGAUAUUUCAAAUACAAUAUUGACCUGUUCGUAGUCAUCACAAAGUGUUAUUUAGUGGAAGGGUUCAACACUUCUGAAAAGACAUCGGAAUCAAACUGAUUAAACGCCACCAGUUUAAGGGGAUGGAGAAUGAAGUUGCAAAAGAGUUCGGUAUAGGCGGUGCUAUGGAACAUAACAGCAUCUGUUGGCAGAGCUAUGUGGACGGCCGAUGUUUGGAUGAUCCGUACAUCGACAAUAUAGCUCUCAAGUUCGUGAGGCAGAUUAUGCAACCUAGACGAAGAAGACAUCCGGUUGAGAGUAAUAAGACGCCUGUGCUUACACCACAAAAAUGCUUUUAUUUAAACUGACAAAGGCGGCAAAUGACAUGAAUGCGGAUCAGAAACUUUUCUUUUUGGUCGGUGUUUUGGUGGCUUUCGUUGUUGUAUACGUGUCGUUGUCACAAACCGUUAAGACAGCUGAUUCAAAAGCUUGACAAAAACAGCAUUCGUUUUGCCAAUAUAUUGUGUUUUACUAAUACCAGUAAGAAAUGCACGCAUGUACGUACAGAAUAGUUUUCUAUGAUUGAAUAUUCAUGUAUUGCUUUUGUUGUUAUCAUGUUUUCAUUGAGGUUAAACACUCGGCCUAUAUAUGUGGACAUAUG